This is a long non-coding RNA of Homo sapiens (human), 493 nucleotides long. Lineage: Eukaryota; Metazoa; Chordata; Mammalia; Primates; Hominidae. The record is from Ensembl.
UUGGCUCCAAGCUUCAGUGCCUUCUUCCUGGCUUCCUCGAAGUCUUCCUUCUGGCCAGUAUUGGCCAGGUAGGCAGUGACAUCAUAGCCUUGUUCCUUCAGCCACACGAGGAUGCAGGAGGUGUUCAGGCCACCACUGUAGGCCAGAACCAUGGAGCCUUUGCUGGACAUAGCGUCUGGGAUUGGAGGCGUGAGUUCCCGGUGUCUGGAAUCUGUCUUCACGGUGCAGUGAACCACUCGGGCCCGAGCAGCGGUGGCAGGCGACAGAGCAGGUCUCAGCUUGGUUGUCACUUCCUCAAGGAAGCCUUCCCUGAUUUCUCCUCUGCCUGAUGAACCUAGAUCUUCCACUCCAUAUUCCUAUAACACAUUCAACUUUUUUUCAUAGCACUCAUCACUGUUUAAUUCACCUGUUUAAUGCUUGCCUUUUUCAUUACACUGUAAACUCCAUGUGUUUACUGCUAUAUGCAAGAAUUAGCCUGAUAACUUACACUGGG